GAGACAAGGCACUGCCUGCUGAGCCAGGCUUGUCCAUGAAGGGGCCAGGGGCAGACCCACAGUAGGCCCUCAGGUCAGAGCUUGCAAACGUGGGAUGGUGCCAGCGUAGCCCCAAGUCCUCUCUGGGGAUGAAUGGAGGCAUCUGCAAGUUGGCUAGCAGGAGCCUGCCCGGGUGGCUACCGAGCCCUCGGACCAGAUACACCUGAAGCCCCCUGGCCGCCCCCCAGCUGGGAAAGGCAUUUAUGACCUGGACUGAAAGCGGUGGUUUUUGAAUCAUCUUUUUUUUUUUUUAAUUGUGUUCUAAUACAUGUUUUUAUUGUUAGUUUUUUUUGGGUUUUUGGGGGGGUUUUUUUGGUACCUGGGAUUGAACUCAGGACCUUGUGCUUUUGAGGCAGGUGGCAGAACCAGAGCUAAAUCCCCAGCUGAAUCAUCUUUUACUUCAUGGUUUUUCAUACCCGAAUAAUGUUACUCAUGGGCUUCUAACAGGUAAAGAUAACUUAUAUGGAG
RNAcentral lists this long non-coding RNA (507 nucleotides) under Heterocephalus glaber (naked mole-rat). Its description in RNAcentral is "lncRNA (ENSHGLG00100040056.1)". The record is from RNAcentral. Lineage: Eukaryota; Metazoa; Chordata; Mammalia; Rodentia; Bathyergidae.